UAUAAACAAGGCAGAUACCCAACAUAAAGAAAUGUUGCUUGUGUAAGUUCCCCACUACUCACUCUGGUUACAUCUCUAAGCAGAUCAAUAUCGCCAGUUUGAGGAAUAAUCAUUUUAUUGGAGAGGAAAGGAAUUCACUUCUGGAAAUGGAUAGUUUGUCAUAUUUGUCGAAUCGAGAGAGAUCAGCUGGCUCCAAGUAUGAUCUGAAAGCUAUCUGGGAGAAGAGAAUUGAAAAGCAGACGGAAUGGAUGGAGCAGGAAAAGAUCAGGUUGAAUAAGAGUGCCCUUAGUAGACUCAUCAAAGAAUGGAACCAAAGGCUUGAAAGCAAAAAAAAGCUGAUGCAAAGCUAUCAUGAAGAUGACAAAAAGAAACCUGUCGU
This is a long non-coding RNA of Chiloscyllium plagiosum (whitespotted bambooshark), 379 nucleotides long. RefSeq lists it as uncharacterized. NCBI's taxonomy places the organism in Eukaryota, Metazoa, Chordata, Chondrichthyes, Orectolobiformes, Hemiscylliidae. The record is from RefSeq and is a predicted model, not a curated record.